RNAcentral lists this ribosomal RNA (414 nucleotides) under uncultured bacterium. Its description in RNAcentral is "bacterial SSU rRNA". It matches the Rfam family "Bacterial small subunit ribosomal RNA", at positions 355 to 786 of the family's 1533-position model. The record is from RNAcentral.
UGAGGGAUAUUGGGCAAUGGGGGAAACCCUGACCCAGCGACGCCGCGUGAGGGAAGACGGUCUUCGGAUUGUAAACCUCUGUCUUGGGGACGAAAAGGACGGUACCCAAGGAGGAAGCUCCGGCUAACUACGUGCCAGCAGCCGCGGUAAUACGUAGGGAGCGAGCGUUGUCCGGAAUUACUGGGUGUAAAGGGAGCGUAGGCGGGAUUGCAAGUUGGAUGUGAAAACUGCGGGGCUCAACCCGGAGAGUGCAUUCAAAACUGCGAUUCUUGAGUGAAGUAGAGGCAAGCGGAAUUCCUAGUGUAGCGGUGAAAUGCGUAGAUAUUAGGAGGAACACCAGUGGCGAAGGCGGCUUGCUGGGCUUUUACUGACGCUGAGGCUCGAAAGUGUGGGGAGCAAACAGGAUUAGAUACC